This 320-nucleotide ribosomal RNA is filed under the name uncultured eukaryote. Its description in RNAcentral is "partial 18S ribosomal RNA". It matches the Rfam family "Eukaryotic small subunit ribosomal RNA", at positions 1470 to 1796 of the family's 1831-position model. The record is from RNAcentral.
CCCCUAGAUGUUCUGGGCCGCACGCGCGCUACACUGAACAGUUCAACAAGUCUUAACCUUGGCCGAUAGGUCUGGGUAAUCUUUGAACGCUGCUCGUGAUUGGGAUAGACCUUUGCAAUUAUGGGUCUUCAACGAGGAAUUCCUAGUAAACGCAAGUCAUCAGCUUGCAUUGAUUACGUCCCUGCCCUUUGUACACACCGCCCGUCGCACCUACCGAUUGAAUGGUCCGGUGAAAUCUCGGGACGGCGGCUUGGUCGCUUGCGUCCGACUGCUGAAACUUGAUUAAACCAUAUCAUUUAGAGGAAGGUGAANUCGUANCA